This is a long non-coding RNA of Cloeon dipterum, 601 nucleotides long. RefSeq lists it as uncharacterized. NCBI's taxonomy places the organism in Eukaryota, Metazoa, Arthropoda, Insecta, Ephemeroptera, Baetidae. The record is from RefSeq and is a predicted model, not a curated record. The transcript is spliced from 4 exons.
GAAACCUUGAUCCCAACCAAAAUAGAAGGAAUUCUGGCAACAAAAAGAGUUGUGCAAAUUGCCUGCAGCACUUACCAUACUCUGGCAUUAACUUCAGAUAGAGAGGUCUUCUCCUUUGGUCGUAACGAUAGCGGGCAGUUGGGACUGGGACACAAAAAAAGCCAAAAACUUCCAAUCGAAUUGGACUUUCCUUCGGCUGGGAGAAAUGUGACAUCCGUCGCUUGUCUAUAUUUAUCAUCUGUUGCACUCCUAGACUCAGGAGAGGUAUUGGCUUGGGGGAAAAAUGCCGAUGGCAUUUUGGGCCAUAGUGCAGACGACGUGAGGGAGCAAACAAUUCCUCGCAAAGUGCCAGGCUUGGAAGGCAUCACGAUUAAAAGAAUUGUUUGUGGCCAAAAUCACGCACUGGCUUUGUCUAGCGAUGGAAAAAUCUAUUCUUGGGGAGGGAAUGAAUUUUGCCAGCUUGGAAAUGGAACCACCGAAAAUUCACAUGAACCAACUUUGAAAGCUGGAAUUUAUGGCAGGGUAAGAGACCUAGCUGCUAAUUACUGUUGCAGAGUUAAUGCGGCAGUCACAGAAGCUGAUGAAGUAUACAUUUGGGGCG